This 2430-nucleotide long non-coding RNA is filed under the name Gouania willdenowi (blunt-snouted clingfish). RNAcentral describes it as "lncRNA (ENSGWIG00000004600.1)". Lineage: Eukaryota; Metazoa; Chordata; Actinopteri; Blenniiformes; Gobiesocidae. The record is from RNAcentral.
GUCCAGGUACAAUAUUAAUAAGACGCUGUGAAAUUUUCUCAUUAUUCUACGAGACUCAGAUAAGAGAAGUUACAGCACUUAUCGUUCAUCAAAAUGAAGGCGCUACUUUCUGUCACUCUCCUUGGCAUUCUCGCCUUCUCAGCUGAAGGACUCCAGUGUCUGAACUGCACUGAUUCAACGUGUUCAACUACAGAAUCUGUCACAUGUUCCACUGAGACGAUGUGUAUCACAGCUUCUAUUCUCGAUAUCUCAGCAUUAGAUUCUUCUUCAGAACUCAGGCUCUUCAAAGGCUGUGCAUCUUCCUCUCUGUGUUCAUCCACGGGCUCAAAGACAUUCUCAGUGAGUCUGGGUCACAAUAGGAGACUUACAUCUGCUGAAUGCUGUGACAUGGACAACUGUAACUCCCAGACCUUACCCAGUCCUACCUCUCCUCAGAGUGAAAAUGGUCUAAGAUGUUUCUUUUGUUAUGCUGGUCGGUGUGACGUUAGCAUUGACUGUCAAGGAGAGGAGAACAGGUGUUUUCAAGGAAAUGAUAUGGUGGGUAACCCAAUUCGCGGCUGUGCAUCUGCCAAUGUGUGCCAACCUGCACGAAUCAAUGGAAAGCUGCCAUUUUUUGAAGAUCUUGGUGAACUUCAGGGUGGAACCACAUGCUGUGAUACCAAUGAUUGUAACGAUGGAACACCACAAGCUGAAGGACUCCAGUGUCUGAGCUGCACUGAUUCAACGUGUUCAACUGUAGAAUCUGUCACAUGUUCCACUGAGACAAUGUGUAUCACAGCUUCUUCUAUUUUUGAGAACAGAACAGUUCCUUCUACAGAACUCAGUUUCUUCAAAGGCUGUGCAUCUUCCUCUCUGUGUUCAUCCACGGGCCCAAAGACAUUCUCAGUGGAUCUGGGUCUCUCUGGUAGAUUUAUAUCUGCUGAAUGCUGUGACACACACAACUGUAACUCUCAGACCUUACCCAGUCCUACUCCUCCUCAGUCUACUAAUGGUCUGCAGUGUUUCUUUUGUGGUUUUGGUCAGUGUCACAUUAUCGUUGACUGUCAAGGCGAGGAGGACAGGUGUAUUCAAGGAAAUGGUAUAUCGGGUAACCCAAUUCGCGGCUGUGCGUCUGCCAAUGUGUGCCAACCUGCACAAAUCGAUAGAGGGCUGCCAUUUUUUGAACAUCUUGCUGAGCUUACAUGUGGAACCACAUGCUGUGAUACUGAUCUGUGUAACAAUGGGACAACACAAGGACUCCAGUGUCUGAGCUGCACUGAUUCAACGUGUUCAACUGUAGAAUCUGUCACAUGUUCCACUGAGACAAUGUGUAUCACAGCUUCUUCUAUUUUUGAGAACAGAACAGUUCCUUCUUCAGAACUCAGUUUCUUCAAAGGCUGUGCAUCUUCCUCUCUGUGUUCAUCCACGGGCCCAAAGACAUUCUCAGUGGAUCUGGGUCGCUAUGCUAGAUUUACAUCUGCUGAAUGCUGUGACACACACAACUGUAACUUUCAGACCUUACCCAGUCCUACUCCUCCUCAGUCUGAUAAUGGUCUGCGGUGCUUCUUGUGUGAUUCUGGUUCAUGUAGUUUCAUUGUUACCUGUCAAGGAGAGGAGGACAGGUGUUUUCAAGGAACAGAUAUGAUGGGUAACCCACGUCGCGGCUGUGCGACUGCCAAUGUGUGCCAACCUGCACGAAUCGAUGGAAAGCUCCCAUUUUUUGAUGAUCUUGGUGAACUUCAGGGUGGAACCACAUGCUGUGAUACUGAUCUGUGUAACGAUGGAACACCACAAGGACUCCACUGUCUGAGCUGCACUGAUUCAACGUGUUCAACUACAGAAUCUGUCACAUGUUCCACUGAGACAAUGUGUAUCACAGCUUCUAUUAUCGAGACCAGACCAGUUCCUUCUUCAGAACUCAGUUUCUUCAAAGGCUGUGCAUCUUCCUCUCUGUGUUCAUCCACGGGCCCAAAGACAUUCUCAGUGGAUCUGGGUCUCUCUGGUAGAUUUAUAUCUGCUGAAUGCUGUGACACACACAACUGUAACUCUCAGACCUUACCCAGGCCUACUCCUCCUCAGUCUGCUAAUGGUCUGCGAUGCUUCGUGUGUGCUUAUGGUCAAUGUGGUUUAAUUGAUAACUGUCAAGUAGGGGAGGACAGGUGUAUUCGGGGAACAGAUAUGAUGGGUAACCCAAUUGGCGGCUGUGCGUCUGCCAGCGUGUGCCAAGCUGCAUCAACCAAUGGAGAGCUAUUUGGUGAACUUACAAGUGGAACCACAUGUUGUGAUACUAGUCUGUGCAACAACUGAAGUAUCGUUUAACAACUGCAUCAACAAAAUCUCCAAUAUUAUUCUCAAAGAUAAUCAAUCAUCUAUUUUAUUUCAGCUUUUGUAAUCAGGGGUUGUGAGCUCUCCAAAAAUAAAUAACUGGCUUUGAUGUGUUAUGAAAAGGCA